UUUUUUUUUUUUUUUUUUUUUUUUUAGUACUGGAAGUCCUAUCAGAGAACUCAGACAAUAUAAGGAAAUAUAAAGAAAUAAAAAGCAUCCAAAUAAAUAAGAAAGAAGUGAAAUUUUCACUAUUUGCAGAUGACAUAAUACUGUAUAUAGGAAACCUAAAAGACUCCACCAAAAAAACCCUCCCAGGACUGAUAAAUGAAUUCAGUAAAAUAUCAGGAUACAAAAUCAAUGUACAGAAAUCUAUUGCAUUUGUAUUUCUAUACACUAAUAAUGAAGCAGCAGAAGUGAAAAUUUAAAAAUACCAUUUACAAUUAUACCCAAAAUAAUGAAAUACCUAGGAAUAAACUUAACCAAGGAGGCAAAAGACCUCAACUCUGAAAACUAUAAAACAUUGAUGAAAAAAAUUGAGAUGGACACAAAGAAAUGGAAAGACAUUUCAUGCUUAUAGAUUGGAUGACCAAACACUGUUAAAAUCUCUAUAAUACCUAAAGCAAUCUACUGAUGUAAUGCAAUCUCUAUCAAAAUACCAACAGUAUUUUUCACAGAACUAAAACAAACCAAUCCUAAAAUUUGUAUUGAAUCACUAAAGACCCCAAAUAGCUGAAGCAAUCUUGAAAAACAAAACUUGGAGGCAUCACAAUUCCAGACUUCAAGUUACAUUACAGUCAUAGUAAUCAAAGCAGUACAGCACAGAAACAGACAUAGAUCAAUGGAACAGAAUAAAAGGCCCAGAAAUAAACCCACAAUUAUAUGAUCAAUUUAUCUUUUUUUAAAGAUUUUAUUUAUUUAUUAAUGAGAGACAGAGAGAUAGAGAGAGAGGCAGAGACACAGGCAGAGGGAGAAGCAGGUUCCAUGCAGGGAGCCUGAUGUGGGACUCGAUCCCUGGACUGCAGGAUCAUGCCCUGGGUGGAAGGCAGGCGCUAAACCACUGAGCUGCCCUCAAUUUAUCUUUGACAAAGGAAGCAAGAAUAUGCAAUGAGAAAAAGUCUCUCGAACAAAUGGUAUUUGGAAGACUGGACACAGCUACAUACAAAAUAAUGAAACUGGACCACUUUCAACAUACACAAAAAUAAACUCAAAAUGGAUUAAGGACCUAAGUAUGAGACCUAAAGCCAUAAAAAUCCAAGAAGGCACAGGCCAUAGCCUCUUUGACAUCAGCCAUAGUACUCUCUUUCAAGAUAUGUCUUCUGAGGCAAGGGAAACAAAAGCAAAAAUAAGCUGUUGGAAUUACAUCAAAAUAAAAGACUUCUGUACAGCAAAGAAACAACCAACAAAGCUAAAAAACAGCCUACUGAAUGGGAGAAGAUAUUUUCAAAUGACAUAUCUAAUAAAAGAUUAGUAUCCAAAAUAUAUAAAUGACUUAUAUUAACUCAAUAGGAAAAAAAAUUCCAUUCAAAAGUAUGCAGAAGACAUGAAUAGGUACUUCUCCAAAGAAGACACAGUAGAUGGCCAAAGACACGUGAAAAGAUGACUAACAUCACUCAUGAUAAGAGAAAUGCAAAUCAAAACCACAAUGAAAUAUCACCUCACAUUUGUCAGAAUGGAUAAAAUCAAAAACAUAAGAAAUAAGAAGUGUUGGUGAGGAUGUGAAUAAAAAAGAACCCUCUUGCACUGUUGGUGGGAAUGUAAACUGUGCAGCCACUGUGGAAAACAGUAUAGAGAUUCCUCAAAAAGUUAGAAAUAGAACUACCCUACGAUCCAGUAUUUGCACUACUGGAUAUUUACCCAAAUACAGAAACACAAAUUAGUAGAGAUGCAUAUUCCCCUAUAUUUAUUUCAGCAUUAUUUACAAUAGCCAAAUUAUGGAAGCAGCCCAAGGGUCCAUAGAUUGAUAAAUGAAUAAGGAUGAGGUGGUUGUAUGUGUACACACAUACACACACAUAAAUAUAUAUAUACAUGUGCAUAUACAAUGGAAUAUUAUUCAGCUAUAAAAAAGAAAUAAAAUCUUGCCAUUUCCAAUGACAUGGAUGGAUCUAGAGUGUGUAAUGCUAAGAAAAAUAAGAUAGAGAAAGAAAAAUACCAAAUGAUUUCACUCGUAUGUGGAAUUUAAGAAACAAAUGAACAAAGAGAAAAAAGAAAAACCAAAAACUAGACUUUUAUCUAUAGGCAAAAAAAGGAAGGUUACAGAGGGGAAGUGGAUGGAGGGAUGAGUGAAAUAGGUGAAGGGGAUUAAGAGUACACUUACUGUGAUGAGUACUGAUAAAUACAUGGAAUUGUUGAAUCUCUAUAGAGAACAUCUGAAACAAAUAUAAUACUGUAAACUACACUGGAAUUGAAAUAAAAUCUAUAUAACAUAAACUUUACCAUGAACCAUUUUUAAGUGUAUAAUUCAGUGACAUAUGGUAUAUUCACAUUGUUAUGUGAAAGAUCUUUAGAAGAUUUUCAUCUUGCAACACUGAAAUGUGAUGCUCCUUAAACACAAAUUCCCUCAACAUCCAGACAGUUUUUAAUAUCUGUGUCUUGACCACCAAAAUUUCAGAAAACAAACAAUUGAACUUUCAUCUUUAAAAAUAUCAAGCAUAUUGGGAUGCCUGGGUGGCUCAGUGGUUGAGCAUCUGCCUUUGGCUCAGAGCGUGAUCCCGGGGUCCUGGGAUGGAGUCCAGUGUCGGGCUCCCUGUAGGGAGCCUGCUUCUCCCUCUGCCUCUCUGUCUCUCAUGAAUAAAUAAAUAAAAUCUUUAAAAAAUAUAUCAAGCAUAUAUAUUGAUAUGCUUUCAUAUUCCCUGGAUAUCUUUGAAAAGAUAAAUAGUUGCUUUGGGAAGAGAAUGGGGUAUGGGGGACAGGGUGGUAAAGGAGGCUUAUUUUUCAUGAUCUAUCCCUUCAUAGCUUUGGAAUUUUGUACUGUGUGCUUGCAUAUCCUAAUAAGAAAAAUUAAAGUAGCUGAGAAGAAAGAAAUUCAAGUCAUGGGCAUAACAGACCCCUGGUUAAAGGACAGAAAUUCAACUGAGUAUAUUCUAAGAUGUAAUUGGCUUUGUUGAAUGAUUCAUGAAUGAGGCAGCAUCUCAUCUAGUAACUAGAGGGGCUCCGAGGAUGCGUACAAAAUGGAAGAUUUUAGGCAAGAAAGUUUUUUUUUGUUUUGUUUUGUUUUUUGCAAGGAAGUUAUUAGUGAAAGACAAGGAUUGUUCUAGGCAAGUCUUUCUGUGAGGGGGAAAGGCGAGGGCUCUCAUCAUGCGGAUUGCCUCAUCAUUCUGGAGGUGGUGUAGGGCUGGAGAGGGCCCUGUGGUGGAUUCAUUGUCACUGUUAGAAAAACUCUUGACUGAUGAGUUGAGACUACAUUUCUGGGGGAGGUCGAAAUUGCAAUUAGAUUAUGUGGUAAGGCCCAGUUUUGAGACUGGUCUAAGUGACACCAUUCUGGGCCUAUGGUUUUCUUUUUAAUAUGAAAGUGGUCAAGGCAGUGAAAAUUUAGAUGAAUGAUAAAGGUUGAGGAAAGGACUCAGAAAUUGGCCACCUAUGCAGUGGGGAGGGAGGAUAGUCAAGGAGCGGAGUCCAUGGUGACCACAGACUUAGUCUGGGUUGUUGGGACAGUAUCGAAGCCAUUAACAGAAAUUGAAGUCAGGCAGGACAGCACUUUAUGGGGAUAGAUGGAGUCAGGUUUAAUUUCAGAUGACUUUGAGGUAACAGUGGGCCAUUACAGUAGAAAUGUCAAGUAUGCAAUUGGAAAUGGGUGACUGGAGCUCAUGAGGAGGUGACAUGAUUGUCACUAAUAGAGUCACAUAGCACCUUAGACCAGAGUGGAUGCACUGUCUGUCGGUGUGGAAAGGGGAUGGGAGGAGGUGGAGGGGAAGGCAGUGGUGGAUGUUCAGUCGUAAAAUGUAUAAUGUCAAAUAAGGCCAGGGAAAGUGGGAAGGACCAUCGUAAUCCUGGGCAAAGAGGCCCAGGAGGAUAACCAUGGAGGAAAGGCCACUGGAGUUCAAAGUUGGAGAUCAGUGUUCACAUUAAAGCACAGAAAACUUUUUCAUAGAAGCAUUUGAAGUAGAAUUUCCCUGGCUUACAAUGUUAAAAGCAAGCUACAAAAUCUCCAGCAGCCGUGGUUAAUUUUGUGGUUGGCAAGGCAAUGCAAAAAGAUUUCAGAGAAACACCAUUUUGAUUGAGCACAAUACCCUCCGCUUCUUUCUAGUGCCUCUCUCAUUCUGCAGCAGAACACACUGACUGCCAUUCUUCCACAAACACUUCCUGAGGCCUCCUGGGUGCCUGUGGGGCUCUGGGAAUACAAAGGUGGAGGUGGUGUGGUCUCCAGGCCUGCAGUAGCUCACAGCCUGCUGGGUCUGGAAAGCAAGUGAGCCUCCAGGCCCUGCUUGGUGGGACUGUAAAACACUGGUGUCAUGGGGCCUGAGUAAAUAGGGGGUAAAGACACUGCAUUUGCAGGUUUAGGUCUCCCUGUGCACGCCCCCCGCCCCCUUGCCCUUUGUGCAUUUGCUGCUGUAUUUUGAGUUCUCAACUGCCUUCUUUCCUUUGCCUUUGGCUUAUUUUUUUCUAAAACUGGUCUUUUCUUUUCAUCCUCUCACCAGCUCCAGCCACCUCUGGGGUACAUGCUACAGUCUUGUUCACCCUCCUGGCCCUCCCCAUGGAAAUCUUUCUGGAUUCUUCUUAUUGAGUACACUCCCUCGUGUUCUGUAGACUUUCUGCUAUAGUCAGUUCUUGGUAAUAUAUGAAUGAUGUCAUCAACUGAUCUCCAGAGGACAGUUGUUUGAGAGUGUUGGCUUCCCCAAGGUAGCUAAACUUGCCACAUAGUUUCUAGAUGAAGGACAAGAGUAUUAAAUGAGAUUAUAGAGUAUAAGAAGAUGUUUCAUAUUUGAUGUGCAGCUUAAGGAUGAAUAUUCAAAAUCCUAUUUUGAACUCAGUUAAUGAGAUUUCCUUAAAUAUUGUAAAUCAGUCAGAAUUCAUAUAAAUUUGGUAAACUUGAUUUUGUUUGUAUGCACUUCCAGUGCCAGACUGGUCGGUUCAUGACCUCAACAAGCAACAACUUCCCAAGAAAUUUUUAAACAAUCUUAUAAAUUAAAUACCUAAAAAUGUAAAUGUAGCAAAUCUCAGUUUAAAUAUUUCAGGAUUGUUUACAAAUUUAGUCAAAUUUUCUCACACCUUCCAACUUAAAAUCAUGUCUAAAAACCAACUGCACAUUUUAAAUUGGAAUCACAAGCUCAACUGUCAUAUAAUCUAAAAUGUCAAAUUGUCUGAAAAAUGACACUUUAAAUACACAGACUAUCUUUAACUCCAAAGUAUUGGUAGUAAGAGUUUCAUUUCAUUAUAAACUUUUCUGUUGUUAAAAAAUGAUUUCACACAUUACAUAAUCCCAGUCACAGGAUUAAAGGCUGAAUUCUGUAGUUACAGAAUAAUGUCAAAUUCUACACCAGACAACUUCAAUAGGGGUAAUGAAUUAUGAAACAAAAAAUGAUAGGUAAAUAUUUGUUCAUUUUCUUUCAAUUUUCAAUUUAAAGUGGAAAUCUAGUGUUGUCUAUGCUAAUCAAAUAGGCUGAGCAGAUGGAGCAAGACCCUAAUGAUGCAGUUAUCUUGAAGGAGCCCAGCUGAUGGAAGGCUCUCAAGGGACACCCAUGAUUUUUAUGACCUCGCUUAGGUAAUAAAAUGUCCUGCCUUUUAUUUGAGUCACUCAAUACAAUCUUAGUUCAACAAUUAGAAUGUCCCAUCCCAUACAAUAUCCACACUUCAAAUGUGUGACCUCUGUCCUCUCCCUCAUGGUGGCCUACUGUACCGGGAUGCAAUGUCUCCUUCUCAUGCUCUACUCCCUGCAAGAUGAAUGGCUGUGUCUAGACACAAGUCAGGUGUGGGGGAGGGGUUAUAAUAGGAUAGGCUUGCCUUGACCGGGCUUUGUGCUCCCUGGGCCAGCAGGGGGUUAAGCCAACUUGACAGAAGGUCAUGCAACUCUAUGUUGAUUGGCUACUUGCUCUUUCUGCAGUUCUUGGAAUCUGCGGAUGCUUUCAGUUUCUCCUGGCUAAGACCUAUUUGUGCUUCUGGGAAGCCUUAAACACCCCAUGCUGGCUUCCUGUCCUGUGUGGCUUGCCUUGCUUACUGGGAACAUUCAAACACCUGUAUCCAGACACAUCCUGAGAGCCCUCAUCUAUCUCCUUAUUCCUAUUCUUUCCACUUUCCCUGUAGGGGCUCUCCAGAACCUUCUGUAUUUCCCAAGGGAGAGGUACUAUGCUCGUGGGGGAGAGGCACAUAGCUAGCUUUCAGAGGGUCCUGUUGAAGUUUCAUUCAAGUGAGAGGCAACCCUCUACCUCUCUUCUUUGAGAAAAGGAGUGGGUCUCUCUUUUUAAAAAAAAUCCUUUAAAAAAAAAAAUCUCUUAGUCUCCAAUCUGACUUUCCAUACUCCUGAUCUGGAUGAGAGGUUCAAGAUCAGUGUAAUGAUAUCCAACCAUGUGAGUUGAGUAUCUCAUCUGGAAAGCUCCAUUCUAAGGAACUCUGCUGUAGAUUCUGUUUUACCUUUUAUUAUAUGGACCAGCUCAGUGAGCACUGUCAGGAAACAGCUUGCUUGCUUGCUUGCUUUCCUUUUCUUUCUUUUUUCCACCUUCACAUGGUUCCAGCCUCUUCCUCCCUCCUCCCCAGUGACAUCUCAGAUGCAUGGUUUCCCUGUUUUAUUUCUAAGAGCAGUCUCUUUUGUAGACAUUUAAAAAGUGGUCUAAGUCAGCAAUGCACUAUAAUUCCAGUUCUGGACCUGUCCCCCCUGCUAGCUGUAAGGAAGGGACCUAGCUGUCCUCUCACUCUUGCUCCAUCUUGCUCCCCCUGUUGCAGGCUCCUUAAAGGUGUGGGGAGGGCAGGGGCCAUAGAGAAGAAGGGGUAAAGCUCUCAAUGACAGAAGAUGCUGCAAUCAGGCCAGCAGGCACUUUUGAGUGCAUGAUGUGCAUUUCUGGGUUGUGAGAAGACUUUUAUAAGGACC
RNAcentral lists this long non-coding RNA (6889 nucleotides) under Canis lupus familiaris (dog). RNAcentral's name for it is "lncRNA (ENSCAFG00845008723.1)". The record is from RNAcentral. Lineage: Eukaryota; Metazoa; Chordata; Mammalia; Carnivora; Canidae.